CGUGAGGAACCUGCCUUUCAGAGGGGGACAACAGCUGGAAACGGCUGCUAAUACCGCAUAACACAUAGGUGUCGCAUGGCAUUUAUGUCAAAGAUUUAUCGCUGAGAGAUGGCCUCGCGUCUGAUUAGCUAGUUGGUAGGGUAACGGCCUACCAAGGCGACGAUCAGUAGCCGGACUGAGAGGUUGGCCGGCCACAUUGGGACUGAGAUACGGCCCAG
Molecule: ribosomal RNA, 218 nt
Filed under: uncultured Bacillota bacterium
Lineage: Bacteria; Bacillati; Bacillota
Description: uncultured Firmicutes bacterium partial 16S ribosomal RNA
Rfam family: Bacterial small subunit ribosomal RNA
Source: RNAcentral